GGAGUCUGCUUCUAACCGUCUCUUGACUGAGACUAGCGACUUGUGCGCUAACUUUUGACUUGACCUCAAAUCAGGUAGGACUACCCGCUGAACUUAAGCAUAUCAAUAAGCGGAGGAAAAGAAACUAACAAGGAUUCCCCUAGUAACUGCGAGUGAAGCGGGAAAAGCUCAAAUUUAAAAUCUGGCGGUCUCCGGCCGUCCGAGUUGUAAUUUAGAGAAGCGUUAUCCGUGCUGGACCGUGUAUAAGUCUCCUGGAAUGGAGCGUCAUAGAGGGUGAGAAUCCCGUCUUUGACACGGACUACCAGUGCAUUGUGAUGCGCUCUCGACGAGUCGAGUUGUUUGGGAAUGCAGCUCAAAAUGGGUGGUAAAUGCCAUCUAAAGCUAAAUAUUGGCGAGAGACCGAUAGCGAACAAGUACCGUGAGGGAAAGAUGAAAAGAACUUUGGAAAGAGAGUUAAACAGUACGUGAAAUUGUCGAAAGGGAAACGGUUGCAGUCAGUCGCGUCCUCCGGGGAUCAACCUUGCUUUUGCUUGGCGUAUUUCCCGGUGGAUGGGUCAGCAUCAGUUUUGACCGCAGUUAAAAGGCUGGAGGAAUGUGGCACCUUCGGGUGUGUUAUAGCCUCCUGUCAUAUGCUGCGGUUGGGACUGAGGAACUCAGCACGCCGCAAGGCCGGGAUUCGUCCACGUUCGUGCUUAGGAUGCUGGCAUAAUGUCUGUAACCGACCCGUCUUGAAACACGGACCAAGGAGUCUAACAUGCACGCGAGUGUUUGGGUGGCAAACCCGAGCGCGUAAUGAAAGUGAAAGUUGAGACCUCUGUCGUGGAGGGCAUCGACGCCC
Molecule: ribosomal RNA, 838 nt
Filed under: Schizophyllum commune
Lineage: Eukaryota; Fungi; Basidiomycota; Agaricomycetes; Agaricales; Schizophyllaceae
Description: eukaryotic LSU rRNA
Rfam family: Eukaryotic large subunit ribosomal RNA
Source: RNAcentral